CACGUAGGUGGCAAGCGUUGUCCGGAUUUAUUGGGCGUAAAGCGCGCGCAGGCGGUUCGUUAAGUUCGGUGUGAAAGCUCCCGGCUCAACUGGGAGAGGUCAUCGGAUACUGGCGGACUCGAGGGAGGUAGAGGAAGGUGGAAUUCCCGGUGUAGUGGUGAAAUGCGUAGAGAUCGGGAGGAACACCAGUGGCGAAGGCGGCCUUCUGGGCCUUUCCUGACGCUGAGGCGCGAAAGCGUGGGGAGCGAACCGG
This 253-nucleotide ribosomal RNA is filed under the name uncultured bacterium. Its description in RNAcentral is "partial 16S ribosomal RNA". It matches the Rfam family "Bacterial small subunit ribosomal RNA", at positions 524 to 776 of the family's 1533-position model. The record is from RNAcentral.